This 71-nucleotide transfer RNA is filed under the name Lethenteron reissneri (Far Eastern brook lamprey). Its description in RNAcentral is "tRNA-Thr". It matches the Rfam family "tRNA". From Rfam's summary of the family: Transfer RNA (tRNA) molecules are approximately 80 nucleotides in length. Their secondary structure includes four short double-helical elements and three loops (D, anti-codon, and T loops). The record is from RNAcentral. Lineage: Eukaryota; Metazoa; Chordata; Hyperoartia; Petromyzontiformes; Petromyzontidae.
GCUUUGAUAGCUAAAUAUAAAGCACUGGUCUUGUAAACCAGCGACUGAAGAUGUAACUUCUUCUUAAAGCA